This 200-nucleotide long non-coding RNA is filed under the name Homo sapiens (human). Its description in RNAcentral is "HSALNT0351027". The record is from RNAcentral. Lineage: Eukaryota; Metazoa; Chordata; Mammalia; Primates; Hominidae.
AGGAGAUCGAGACCAUCCUGGCUAACAAGGUGAAACCCCGUCUCUACUAAAAAUACAAAAAAUUAGCCGGGCGUGGUGGCGGGCGCCUGUAGUCCUAGCUACUCGGGAGGCUGAGGUAAGAUGGCGUGAACCCGGGAGGUGGAGCUUGCAGUGAGCCGAGAUCCCGCCACUGCACUCCAGCCUGGGCGACAGAGCGAGAC